UCGCAGUCUGUAUUCCCGUUA
This 21-nucleotide non-coding RNA is filed under the name Caenorhabditis elegans. Lineage: Eukaryota; Metazoa; Nematoda; Chromadorea; Rhabditida; Rhabditidae. The record is from RNAcentral.